RNAcentral lists this ribosomal RNA (253 nucleotides) under uncultured bacterium. Its description in RNAcentral is "partial 16S ribosomal RNA". It matches the Rfam family "Bacterial small subunit ribosomal RNA", at positions 524 to 776 of the family's 1533-position model. The record is from RNAcentral.
UACGUAGGGCGCGAGCGUUGUCCGGAAUUAUUGGGCGUAAAGAGCUCGUAGGCGGCCUGUUGCGUCCGCUGUGAAAUCCCCGAGCUCAACUUGGGAAUUGCAGUGGAUACUGGCAAGCUGGAGUAUGGUAGAGGAAGGUGGAAUUCCCGGUGUAGCAGUGAAAUGCGUAGAGAUCGGGAGGAACACCAGUGGCGAAGGCGGCCUUCUGGACCAAUACUGACGCUCAUGCACGAAAGCGUGGGGAGCAAACAGG